GAAUUGCUAGUAAUGGCAGGUCAGCAUACUGCCGUGAAUACGUUCCCGGGCCUUGUACACACCGCCCGUCACACCAUGAGAGUUGGGAAUACCCGAAGCCUGUGAGCUAACUGUAAGGAGGCAGCAGUCGAAGGUAGAAUCAAUGAUUGGGGUGAAGUCGUAACAAGGUAGC
This 172-nucleotide ribosomal RNA is filed under the name uncultured bacterium. RNAcentral's name for it is "partial 16S ribosomal RNA". It matches the Rfam family "Bacterial small subunit ribosomal RNA", at positions 1329 to 1500 of the family's 1533-position model. The record is from RNAcentral.